UACGUAGGGUGCGAGCGUUAAUCGGAAUUACUGGGCGUAAAGCGUGCGCAGGCGGUUAUAUAAGACAGUUGUGAAAUCCUGCAGCUCAACUGUAGAACAGCCAUUGAAACUGAAUAGCUUGAGUAAUCUUGAGGUAGGCGGAAUGUGUAGUGUAGCGGUGAAAUGCUUAGAUAUUACACAGAACACCGAUUGCGAAGGCAGCUUACUAAGGAUUUACUGACGCUGAUGCACGAAAGCGUGGGGAUCAAACAGG
Molecule: ribosomal RNA, 253 nt
Filed under: uncultured bacterium
Lineage: Bacteria
Description: partial 16S ribosomal RNA
Rfam family: Bacterial small subunit ribosomal RNA
Source: RNAcentral